Molecule: ribosomal RNA, 510 nt
Filed under: uncultured bacterium
Lineage: Bacteria
Description: partial 16S ribosomal RNA
Rfam family: Bacterial small subunit ribosomal RNA
Source: RNAcentral
GGCGAACGCUGGCGGCGUGCUUAACACAUGCAAGUCGAACGAAGAGCGAUGGAAGCUUGCUUCUAUCAAUCUUAGUGGCGAACGGGUGAGUAACGCGUAAUCAACCUUCCCUUUAGAGGGGGACAACAGUUGGAAACGACUGCUAAUACCGCAUACGAUCUAAUCUCGGCAUCGAGGAUAGAUGAAAGGUGGCCUCUACAUGUAAGCCAUCACUGAAGGAGGGGAGUGCGUCUGAUUAGCGAGUUGGAGGGGUAACGGCCCAGCAAGGCGAUGAUCAGUAGCCGGACGGAGAGGAUGAGCGGCCAGAUUGGGACGGAGACCCGGCACAGACUCAUACGGGAGGCAGCAGUGGGGAAUCUGCCGCAAUGGACGAAAGUCUGACGGCGCAACGCCGCGUGAGCGAUGACGGCCUUCGGGUUGGAAAGCUCGGUUAAUCGGGACGAAAGGCCUUCUUGCGAAUAGUGAGAAGGAUUGACGGUACCGGAAUAGAAAGCCACGGCUAACUACGUG